Molecule: transfer RNA, 80 nt
Filed under: Yersinia pestis KIM10+
Lineage: Bacteria; Pseudomonadati; Pseudomonadota; Gammaproteobacteria; Enterobacterales; Yersiniaceae
Description: tRNA-Asp
Rfam family: tRNA
About the family: Transfer RNA (tRNA) molecules are approximately 80 nucleotides in length. Their secondary structure includes four short double-helical elements and three loops (D, anti-codon, and T loops). Further hydrogen bonds mediate the characteristic L-shaped molecular structure. tRNAs have two regions of fundamental functional importance: the anti-codon, which is responsible for specific mRNA codon recognition, and the 3' end, to which the tRNAs corresponding amino acid is attached (by aminoacyl-tRNA synthetases). tRNAs cope with the degeneracy of the genetic code in two manners: having more than one tRNA (with a specific anti-codon) for a particular amino acid; and 'wobble' base-pairing, i.e. permitting non-standard base-pairing at the 3rd anti-codon position.
Source: RNAcentral
GGAGCGGUAGUUCAGUUGGUUAGAAUACCUGCCUGUCACGCAGGGGGUCGCGGGUUCGAGCCCCGUCCGUUCCGCCACCC